RNAcentral lists this ribosomal RNA (534 nucleotides) under Haemophilus sp. HMSC061E01. RNAcentral describes it as "bacterial SSU rRNA". It matches the Rfam family "Bacterial small subunit ribosomal RNA", at positions 1 to 520 of the family's 1533-position model. The record is from RNAcentral. Lineage: Bacteria; Pseudomonadati; Pseudomonadota; Gammaproteobacteria; Pasteurellales; Pasteurellaceae.
ACUUGAAUUGAAGAGUUUGAUCAUGGCUCAGAUUGAACGCUGGCGGCAGGCUUAACACAUGCAAGUCGAACGGUAACAUAAAGAAGCUUGCUUCUUUGAUGACGAGUGGCGGACGGGUGAGUAAUGCUUGGGAAUCUAGCUUAUGGAGGGGGAUAACUACGGGAAACUGUAGCUAAUACCGCGUAGUAUCGAGAGAUGAAAGUGUGGGACCUUCGGGCCACAUGCCAUAGGAUGAGCCCAAGUGGGAUUAGGUAGUUGGUGAGGUAAAGGCUCACCAAGCCGACGAUCUCUAGCUGGUCUGAGAGGAUGACCAGCCACACUGGGACUGAGACACGGCCCAGACUCCUACGGGAGGCAGCAGUGGGGAAUAUUGCGCAAUGGGGGCAACCCUGACGCAGCCAUGCCGCGUGAAUGAAGAAGGCCUUCGGGUUGUAAAGUUCUUUCGGUAGCGAGGAAGGCAUUUAGUUUAAUAGACUAGGUGAUUGACGUUAACUACAGAAGAAGCACCGGCUAACUCCGUGCCAGCAGCCGCGG